This 146-nucleotide ribosomal RNA is filed under the name uncultured bacterium. RNAcentral describes it as "partial 16S ribosomal RNA". It matches the Rfam family "Bacterial small subunit ribosomal RNA", at positions 335 to 490 of the family's 1533-position model. The record is from RNAcentral.
ACUCCUACGGGAGGCAGCAGUGGGGAAUAUUGCACAAUGGGCGCAAGCCUGAUGCAGCGACGCCGCGUGCGGGAUGGAGGCCUUCGGGUUGUAAACCGCUUUUGUUUGGGAGCAAGCCCUUCGGGGUGAGUUACCUUUCGAAUAAG